GCCAUCAGUGCAGGUUUAGGGGGGCCAGGUACCCCAGUGCACUAGAGAGCUUCAACCAAUACCUCAAUGUCAUAGGCAAGUCAGACUAUGAACAUUUGGAGGCCAAUUCGUAUACCACUGAUUGGAGUUGUGCUAUAUAACCCCUAUGGGGUAUAGUUGCCUCAAGGAGUAUAUCCUGAAGGAAUAGGAUUCUUACCUCAUGUAUGGGAUGGUGGCUUACAUCAAGCUGACUCCGGUGCUUGCAAUGCAUAUUAUAAUCUAUUGUUCCAUCCAAACCCCCAUAAUCCAUCCUAGAUAUAUAUGUGCCAAACCAAAAUCAAAAUGAUCGAGGCUAAGCUCCACCGAAUCUGUCAUAGUUAACAGAGUUAAUCAAAGAGCAGCUUACUUGUUGGCUAAUCAGGAGGGUGAUUUAUAGGAAGCCUUAUCCUAACUAGUACAACCAAGCUUUCGAGUUUCCUUAUAGGUACAAAGUGCCAUAAUUUUCUAGAUUCUUAGGUGAUGAUGGAGUAACGACUGUGGAGCAUAUAGGAAGAUUCUCAGUACAAUAUGGACAGACUGGCAAUAACAAUUUUCUCAAAUUAAGGUUGCUCGCCAAUUCUCUUAUAGGUUCUACCUUUAUAUGGUAAAUCCAUAAAUCCACAAUCUAAUUCUAUACAUACUUGGCAAGAGUUAGAAAGUCAAUUUUAUGCCUAAUUCUAUAGAAUCGAACCUGAGGUUUGGGUAGCCG
Molecule: long non-coding RNA, 727 nt
Filed under: Phoenix dactylifera (date palm)
Lineage: Eukaryota; Viridiplantae; Streptophyta; Magnoliopsida; Arecales; Arecaceae
Description: long non-coding RNA (PDAC_LNC006874)
Source: RNAcentral